Molecule: long non-coding RNA, 1513 nt
Organism: Alligator mississippiensis (American alligator)
Lineage: Eukaryota; Metazoa; Chordata; Crocodylia; Alligatoridae
Exons: 3
Source: RefSeq, a predicted model, not a curated record
UUGGUGAAUAGGACAGCAGGAGAGUGGUUUACUGUGUUCAGUCUGUUGUAUCAUUCUUCUUCUUACCUCUGCAGGAAUGCAGAAGACUGCAAAGCAAUAGCAGUGCAUAGUGAAAAAACACCUGUGAACUGGCCCCUAAGGAUAGCUGUGUAUGCAACAGUGUUUUGGCAUUUGUUUAAUAAAAAUACUGAAUUUUUAAAGAAUUAUUCUACCAAAUUCUGAAGCAUGCAAAAACAAAUCAAAAGCAAUUGCUAGUCUGGCUCUUUAAAAGAAGACUGAGGGUAUAUCUGCAUGUGUGCCAUGUCUGCCCUUUUUAGAAAGAGAAGAUUCUACUUGCUUCAAAUUUAAACCUAAGGAGUCGCCAGGGAAAAUGCUGAUAUUGAUUUAAUUAAGAUGGCCUACAAUGGAGCUUCCAAAAGCAAUAAAGGAAGAGUUGGACCAAACUGCCAGCCAAGCACCUUUCUACAGUCCUCAUCCUGAAACAUGCUGAGCACCUGCAACUUGAUAUGCAAAUGGAUUUAGGCCAAAUAGCAAAUGUUGUGCUUGCCAGCUUGCUGUGGCUGCCAAGAUAAUUAACACCAUUAGAGACAGUGGCCCUGAUUCUCAAGAGCACAAUCCUCCAAUCUGCAAGGCAUUUCUUAUCUAAAGCCCAAUACCUGUUUCUACUAGUUAAGGUUUACUAAUGAAAGAUUGAAAGACAGACAUCAACAGCACUGCAUUAUUCCAGACUGGCUAUUCUACAGAAAUAAUCAAUCUGAAGUUAUGGAGGCCUUAUUUCUUUUGAUCACAUACAAAGUCUCUCUGACUUGCAAUGGAGAAUAAGUAGAUCAGCUCAUGCCCUCAUUAUUAUGAAAAGCUGAACAAGCUAUCUUGUUUGAGCAGUUGACCGAAUGCUUUCUCAAUAAAUGAGCUUCCAAAGAAGAUAUAAUUCAAGCCCCCAUAUAAAUGUCUUGAAUAUUUGACCGAAUCACCCUUCCAUAAAUUCCUGUUGACUGCAUAUUUCCCCUUGGAGUUAAUUUAUGAAAAAGGUAAUUAGAAAUAUUGAGGCUCUCCUAACAGUGAUUCCGAUAGGACUGGCCAAGAAGAGUAGGGUAGAGUAGCUGUUACCAGCCUUGUCUAGGUCAGGCAGAGUGGAUAGUGUAAUGUUAAAGCUAACAAAUGAUCUCAAAUUGAAACAAUUAAACAGAUAGGAAUCUCAUGAACCACUGAUCAAUCAGUUAUGGGAUGCACAGUUUUGGCUCUUGAUAAAGAUUUGUUUUUGAGAUGGUUAGGAGGUUAUUUAAUGAAUCCUCUAAAUUUCACAAGAAUUGACUUUCAGAUGAUCUUGAAGAGGUUGCAAAUCGGUGUACACAGUAGUGACAGUGAGAUCAUGCUCUGGAUACUGGUAGCCUGUUGCAUCUGUUCAGACACAAAGGGGAUGAUGCCUGCUACACUAAUGACUUUUAUUUUCCCCCCUCUAUCUCCAGCCAAUUCUGCUUGUAUGCAAUGCAAGACAUGCCCAAAUACCUCUACA